Molecule: non-coding RNA, 140 nt
Filed under: Onchocerca volvulus
Lineage: Eukaryota; Metazoa; Nematoda; Chromadorea; Rhabditida; Onchocercidae
Description: Eukaryotic large subunit ribosomal RNA
Rfam family: Eukaryotic large subunit ribosomal RNA
Source: Rfam by way of RNAcentral
CCGAAAGAUGAUGAAUUAUAUUCGAGUAGGAUGAAGCCAGAAGAAGCUUUGAUCGAAGCCCAAAGCGAUUCUGAUGUGUAAAUCGAUCGCUUGACAUUGGUGUAGGAGCGAAAGAGACUAAUCGAAUAAUCUAGUAGCUG